GAAAAAAGUAAUUUAAGAUUAUCAGUUUUUUACAGAGAUAAAGAUGAGUUAAGUUGGGAGUUUAUGGCGAGCAAUCCCUCGAUCCCGAAGAAGAAGCUCAAGAGAGUCCCUCUCACGUAUUAGCUUGUCCAAGAAACUUCACAUUCUCUCAGUUUCCUUGCCAACAGUGGGGAAAUAAGCAUAAUCGACGAUUUUAUGCGUUCAUGUGAUUUAUAUAUCACCUGGAGUGACACAGAUUGCAGUAACAGUGUUCUGCGAAAUUGACUCACCCACCAUGGAUUUGGGGGGUAAAUAUAUUUGUCCUUUAUUGGCUCAUUAUCACCCAAGUUUACUGGAUUUGCAGAUUCUUGAUCCCGGUCGGAAGGUCCAUUGCUCUGUCAGUGAUAACCGAUAAAGAGUUCCUAUAUCCUCUCUUCAUGAUGUGUGAGUAUUAAUAUACUGGAAAUCUAAAAAUUCACAAUCCUGAAUCUAACUAAAAGUACUCGAUACACUCAGCAAACAUAUCAUCGUAUUUAUCAUGCUGGGCUUCCUGUCCAUAAUUUUUUGGUUUAAUUUGGACCAAAGCAAUAUCUCGUUGGUGAAAAGAUGUAUAAAGAAAUAUCAAUCGUGGGAAGUAAAAGUAACUACUCAAGAGCAAAUUCUAUUAUCAAUUCUUCCAAAAGACUAUCGACCAUCUCACUAACUGCAUCUUCGGCAUCUGUUCGGAUAUCCAUCCAUGUUCUUGAUUUAGUCAAGUCCUUUACAAGAAGUUGCUCUAGUGUUUGUGAAGGUGCCAAGAAGAGGUUCCAAUCAACAUUUUUUAUCACUUCCUGAGCUACACUUCCUGUCAUUGUAGCUGGUAGAAUUUUCGGUUUCAUAAAUGACAACCAAGGGGAGCAUCUUAAGUACCACCGGUUUACAUCUACAAGGACUUCAUUAAGAAAGUCAAAGAGUAGCCAGUCAUGACCACAGAAAUGGUUAGGCCGCAAAUAUCUGUUAUCAAGUAAGGACUGGUUAUGGAGUUGUUCUGAUAAAUGGCACUUGAAUGCAAGUUCAUCCCAACUGAAGUGACAAGAUUGUAAAACUGUACUAAUGUGCUCGAACAUGGAUCUAUGCCCUUCCAUAAAAGUACUCAUCUUCAAAUCCGAAGGGAACUGAUGAUCAGCCAAGCAGCCUUCUUCCAUACCAAUUUGCAGCAGUCGUAUUGAUUGUAGAGCAGAAUGGGGUUCAGUGUUCGCAGGACUGAUGAUUUCUUCUGUCAAAAACUGAUCAAGUACUGAUACUGGACUUGGCUGCUCUUCUUUGUCUUUAAUUGUGUCAGAUUCUCUAAAUAUCUGACUCUUUAAAGGGCUUGUUGAACUAUCAUCGAUUGAAUAUGUUGAUGUCUGAUUCUCCACAAGUGAAUCCUCUCUGGAAAAGCCCAGCGAUCCACUUUUCUCACAGGUGUCCACUGUCUCAGUGCUUGGACUAACACCAUCAUUAUAUGAACUAUCAGGUUUGGAGGGCACUCCAGGAGGAACAAUUUCUUCUGAAUCUCUAUAUUUUGUUUCUAUAAUGCUCAAAUCAUUAUUAAGAGAAUCAAUAUUUCUGCACUCCUGGUCAUCUGGAAAAGGGCUGUAUGAAAUGUUUGGCCUUGUCUCAUACAUUUGUGGUUGUUUCUGUUUAACAGCCCACGGCAGAGCCUCUACAUUCUGCUUCAAUGGACUUGAGCAACUGCUUUUCUUUUCAUUUGAAUCUCUCCAAUUGUUCUCGCUGAGGCUGACAAUUUGAUGAUUACUGUUGGAGGAAAAUCUCAUCUGUGGGGAGACGAACCCAUGUUCCCCUGUCCUUCUGGAGCUGACCAUGGAUAAGAAGUCAUAUUCAGGAACAUAGCUUAUCCCAUCCCAGCUUUUUGCUUUCUGCCUCCUUAAAAAAUUUGCACUUCCAAUUUUCAUUUCAGAGACACAUACCCUAGGCUCAACAAACGCAUCAUGUUUGUUUCUCUUUGGAUGAUUGAGGUUUGACAAAUGUAAGUUUUCAUGACCACUUCCACUGGUUGAAGUAGAUUCAUCUCUACCAACCGGAUCAAACUCAUUCACCUUGUCCAUUUGGUCUUUCCCCUUGACAUCCAUGGAAGAUUUGGUCAUUCCUCCAGAAUCAGAGGAGGCUUUGUCAGUUGAUUUUCUUUUGAUAAUAUCUACACCUGUUGCUUUGCCAUGUUGUCCGAAGCCCUCUAACUCAUGGAUAGACUUCUGAUGCGAAGAACCAUCAGUUAGCAUUAACUGUUGCUUUUUCCUGACUAGCCCCAUAGCACGCAUCAACUUUCUUUUCAUUUGUUCGAAAGCAAAAAAUGCAGGUUUAACACUAUGCUGUACAUUCCUUGAGCCAUAAUGAAUUCGUGGAGUGUCAUGACUGAUUCUUUGAUCUUCACAGUUUUGCAAGCUUUCUGAACUAGGCCUGAAAACUACUAUUUUCUCCAGGGGCUGACAAUCACCAGCUUCCUUAGACUGGUUACAUUCUUUUGUAUUCCUUGUCUGCUGUUCUGAUAAUUCGGCUUUAGUGAAGGAUUUAUUCUGCUGCUGCUUUGCCUGAGAGUCUCUCAAAUCUUCAAUGUGUUUCAGCAACAGAGAAUUGGGGUCUUGCAGAAGUUUUAAGAACAAAUCCCUGUUGGAAUUCAGUAUCUCUAAUGCAUCCAAGAAGUGCUUAGACUGCUGAAUUAUCCCACUACCACCAAGGUGUUUUCCAUCAAUCAACUUCUGGUUUAUAAAUGCUUCAGUUGCUUCAUUCAUAUUAACUUGAAGAUUGAUCUCGUUGACUUGGUCAUGCUGCGCGCAAUUUGUGCUUUUACAAUUGCAGUCGCUCUCAUUUUUAGGAUGCAAAUGCAAUUGCAUUUCUGCAGUCAAUGCAGAGUCUAAUGACUUUGAAGAUCUCUCACUGUCGGCCAAAUUUUGAUGAGUAGGUUUUCUAUGCUCCACAGUUGAUACAUCAUAACAACCAUAAAUAGGUAAACGACGAGAUCUACGUGAAGUCUUGAUUGCUUUUCUAUGGUUCCUUAAUAAGUCAUCAAGAAGUUGAGAAUCAGAUUUUGCAUUUUCCACUUUAGCAGCCACAAUCUUCUUUUUUAUCUGCUGCUCAACGGACAGAUUUCCUCCCUUGAUUUUCUCCACUCUUGCAUAACCAGAAUCAAGAAUCAUAGAUUUCUUGUCCAAUACAUCAUGAUUGUAUUCAUCUGAAUGCAAAUCAAGCUUAUUCCCUAUGUGUCCAUCACCAAGAGCAUCUCUGUUUAAGCUUCUCCUGUCAGUAUCAGACAUCAGCUUCUUUGAGUGACGAUGUCGAAAAUGGAAGAAACUGAUUAAACCAUGUACACAUCUAGACUUGUAUUCUUCAUAGGCAACUGGACUCUUUGGAAUGGGACUCUUCGGCAUAGGGCUCUUCGGCAUGGGGCUCUUUGGAAUAGGACUCUUCAGCAUAGAGCUCUUAGACACGGGGGUCUUCAGCAUAUUGCUCUUAGGCGAUC
RNAcentral lists this unclassified non-coding RNA (3475 nucleotides) under Hevea brasiliensis (rubber tree). The record is from RNAcentral. Lineage: Eukaryota; Viridiplantae; Streptophyta; Magnoliopsida; Malpighiales; Euphorbiaceae.